Molecule: non-coding RNA, 90 nt
Organism: Mycena rosella
Lineage: Eukaryota; Fungi; Basidiomycota; Agaricomycetes; Agaricales; Mycenaceae
Source: the annotation of a GenBank genome assembly
GGCCCGGUAGCGGAUGAUCUGCGCUUGCAUCCAAUAAUUCACAAAUUUCGGGGUUCGCAGGAGUCGCUCGUUCGAAUCGAGCCCGGGCCU